RNAcentral lists this transfer RNA (540 nucleotides) under uncultured Prochlorococcus sp. Its description in RNAcentral is "partial 16S-23S ribosomal RNA intergenic spacer". The stretch from base 210 to 282 matches the Rfam family "tRNA". Lineage: Bacteria; Bacillati; Cyanobacteriota; Cyanophyceae; Synechococcales; Prochlorococcaceae. The record is from RNAcentral.
CAGGGAGACAACAAAAUGUUAAAUAUUAAUUUUGUCACCUUAGGUCGAUCGGUACCUCACAUUCUUCAAUUAUGAAAGAAUUUUAUUUCCUAAGUUUUUUCUAGGUCACACCCAUUUUUCCCUGGGCCAUUAGCUCAGGUGGUUAGAGCGCACCCCUGAUAAGGGUGAGGUCCCUGGUUCAAGUCCAGGAUGGCCCAUAUCUCUAUGUUGGGGGUAUAGCUCAGUUGGUAGAGCGCCUGCUUUGCAAGCAGGAUGUCAGCGGUUCGAGUCCGCUUACCUCCACUGAUUACCACCUCUUCCAUAAUUUAUAGAGGGAAAUUUUUUUGAGGUGUGAUCAAAUCCUGAACGAAUCUAGCUUCCUAAUCUAAAUUAUUAAGAUGCUGGAUUCAUUGAAUUAUUUUCAUUGAUUUCAGAGAACCUUGACAACUGCAUAGAUUUUUUUUAAAGACAAUAAGCAUCUGUAAUGAUGCAGAUUUAUUAUUUGUGCGAAUGCAUUAAUAACAAUUCUAUUAAGCUGAUGCUUCAAUUUUUGAAGUUAUU